UGCAGUCGACGGUACAGGAUUGAUUUAUCAAUUGCUGACGAGUGGCGCACGGGUGCGUAACACGUAUGCAACCUACCUUUUACAGGAGAAUAGCCCCGAGAAAUCGGGAUUAAUACUCCAUGGUAUCAUAAGAUCGCAUGGUCUAAUGAUUAGAGCUUCGGCGGUAAAAGAUGGGCAUGCGGUCUAUUAGUUUGUUGGUAAGGUAACGGCUUACCAAGACUUCGAUAGAUAGGGGGUCUGAGAGGAUGAUCCCCCACACUGGUACUGAGACACGGACCAGACUCCUACGGGAGGCAGCAGUGAGGAAUAUUGGUCAAUGGAGGAAACUCUGAACCAGCCAUGCCGCGUGCAGGAAGACGGCCCUACGGGUUGUAAACUGCUUUUAUUUGGGAAGAAACCCUCGGACGUGUCCGAGGCUGACGGUACCAAACGAAUAAGCACCGGCUAACUCCGUGCCAGCAGCCGCGGUAAUACG
RNAcentral lists this ribosomal RNA (475 nucleotides) under uncultured bacterium. Its description in RNAcentral is "bacterial SSU rRNA". It matches the Rfam family "Bacterial small subunit ribosomal RNA", at positions 56 to 527 of the family's 1533-position model. The record is from RNAcentral.